Molecule: ribosomal RNA, 460 nt
Filed under: uncultured bacterium
Lineage: Bacteria
Description: partial 16S ribosomal RNA
Rfam family: Bacterial small subunit ribosomal RNA
Source: RNAcentral
CCUACGGGAGGCAGCAGUGAGGAAUAUUGGUCAAUGGACGAGAGUCUGAACCAGCCAAGUAGCGUGAAGGAUGACUGCCCAGUGUAUUGUAAACUUCUUUUAUAAGGGAAUAAAACGAGGCACGUGUGCCUUUUUGCGUGUACUUUAUGAAUAAGGAUCGGCUAACUCCGUGCCAGCAGCCGCGGUAAUACGGAGGAUCCGAGCGUUAUCCGGAUUUAUUGGGUUUAAAGGGAGCGUAGAUGGGUUGUUAAGUCAGUUGUGAAAGUUUGCGGCUCAACCACAAAAUUGCAAUUGAUACUGGCAGUCUCGAGUACAGGUGAGGUAGGCGGAAUGCGUGGUGUAGCGGUGAAAUGCAUAGAUAUCACGAAGAACCCCGAUUGCGAAGGCAGCUUACUAAAUUGAGACUGACAUUGAGGCUCGAAAGCGUGGGUAUCAAACAGGAUUAGAUACCCGGGUAGUC